CGUAGGGUGCGAGCGUUAAUCGGAAUUACUGGGCGUAAAGCGUGCGCAGGCGGUUUUGUAAGACAGGCGUGAAAUCCCCGGGCUCAACCUGGGAACUGCGCUUGUGACUGCAAGGCUAGAGUACGGCAGAGGGGGUGGAAUUCCACGUGUAGCAGUGAAAUGCGUAGAGAUGUGGAGGAACACCAAUGGCGAAGGCAGCCCCCUGGGUCGAUACUGACGCUCAUGCACGAAAGCGUGGGUAGCAACCAGGAUUAGAUACCCUGGUAGUCCACGCCCUAAACGAUGUCAACUAGGUGUUGGGUGGGUAAAACCAUUUAGUACCGGAGCUAACGCGUGAAGUUGACCGCCUGGGGAGUACGGCCGCAAGGUUA
Molecule: ribosomal RNA, 371 nt
Filed under: uncultured organism
Description: bacterial SSU rRNA
Rfam family: Bacterial small subunit ribosomal RNA
Source: RNAcentral